Molecule: transfer RNA, 65 nt
Filed under: Dipodomys ordii (Ord's kangaroo rat)
Lineage: Eukaryota; Metazoa; Chordata; Mammalia; Rodentia; Heteromyidae
Rfam family: tRNA
About the family: Transfer RNA (tRNA) molecules are approximately 80 nucleotides in length. Their secondary structure includes four short double-helical elements and three loops (D, anti-codon, and T loops).
Source: Rfam by way of RNAcentral
GGUGGCUCAGUGAUAGAGCACUUGCCUUGCAUGCAUGAGGCCCUGAGUUUGAUUCCUCAGCACCA